GGGUCAGUAGGUUGGUCGUGCCACCGGUACGUACUGGUCUCACUGAUUCCUCCUUCCUGAAGAACCGUAAUGCCAUUAAUUUGGUGUUGCGGGGAAACAGGACUGUUACUUUGAAAAAAUUAGAGUGUUUAAAGCAAGCUAACGCUUGAAUACAUUAGCAUGGAAUAAUGGAAUAGGGCGAUCGAUCCUAUUUUGUUGGUUUCUAGGAUUGACGUA
Molecule: ribosomal RNA, 216 nt
Filed under: Glomeromycotina sp.
Lineage: Eukaryota; Fungi; Glomeromycota
Description: partial small subunit ribosomal RNA
Rfam family: Eukaryotic small subunit ribosomal RNA (bases 40-216)
Source: RNAcentral